UGUUUCUGAAUAUUAAUAUUAAAAAAAGGAAAAACGAAAUAAAAGCAAUCCAUGUGUCAUACAGCGCUAUUAGGGCUGCGGUGUCACAUGACAAGCAUGACGCGUCGCCAUGGAAACAAUAAGGCUAUAAAUUCUAAAAUAACGGUCGCCUAAAAAAACUCACGCCGGGGGCUCAGCUAGAAUAUUUUAAACUCACGUGCGAAAGGGUUAAUGACGCCAGAAGAGUCUUUCUGUAGCACCGCCAUUUUCUCACUUUAACGUUGUGAUGUUCUUGCUGGAGUUUCUCCUCAAAUACCUGCGUCGGUUAUCUUUCAAAUUUGUUUUGGCAGACAGUACAAACCAGCUCUUCAUCGUGUUAAUUGAGCCGUGGACCUUCAUCUUAGUCAGUUUAAGGAAUGGAUGUGGGCAUUCUCAUAAUUCCUGAUGGAGAUGAUGCCCUUGACUACUACGUGGUGCUGGAGGAACAGAUUGCCCUGAGAGAUGCCAUAGACCUCCCUCAUGCUGCCGCUCUACUAGUCGGGCUGAUUUUUGCGCUUAAUAUUGAUUAUCCCAAAAAACUACGCUACACAUUUGAGGUCAUUCAAAAGAUUUUCAUUGACCUUGGAGGUGAUCAGUGUUCUGGUGCAUGGACUGGUGCAUGGACUG
Long non-coding RNA from Onychostoma macrolepis, 645 nucleotides. RefSeq lists it as uncharacterized. NCBI's taxonomy places the organism in Eukaryota, Metazoa, Chordata, Actinopteri, Cypriniformes, Cyprinidae. The transcript is spliced from 2 exons. The record is from RefSeq and is a predicted model, not a curated record.